RNAcentral lists this ribosomal RNA (788 nucleotides) under Lactobacillus iners. RNAcentral's name for it is "bacterial SSU rRNA". It matches the Rfam family "Bacterial small subunit ribosomal RNA", at positions 28 to 776 of the family's 1533-position model. The record is from RNAcentral. Lineage: Bacteria; Bacillati; Bacillota; Bacilli; Lactobacillales; Lactobacillaceae.
GACGAACGCGGGCGGCGUGCCUAAUACAUGCAAGUCGAGCGAGUCUGCCUUGAAGAUCGGAGUGCUUGCACUCUGUGAAACAAGAUACAGGCUAGCGGCGGACGGGUGAGUAGCACGUGGGUAACCUGCCCAAGAGAUCGGGAUAACACCUGGAAACAGAUGCUAAUACCGGAUAACAACAGAUGAUGCCUAUCAACUGUUUAAAAGAUGGUUCUGCUAUCACUCUUGGAUGGACCUGCGGUGCAUUAGCUAGUUGGUAGGGUAACGGCCUACCAAGGCGAUGAUGCAUAGCCGAGUUGAGAGACUGAUCGGCCACAUUGGGACUGAGACACGGCCCAAACUCCUACGGGAGGCAGCAGUAGGGAAUCUUCCACAAUGGACGCAAGUCUGAUGGAGCAACGCCGCGUGAGUGAAGAAGGGUUUCGGCUCGUAAAGCUCUGUUGUUGGUGAAGAAGGACAGGGGUAGUAACUGACCUUUGUUUGACGGUAAUCAAUUAGAAAGUCACGGCUAACUACGUGCCAGCAGCCGCGGUAAUACGUAGGUGGCAAGCGUUGUCCGGAUUUAUUGGGCGUAAAGCGAGUGCAGGCGGCUCGAUAAGUCUGAUGUGAAAGCCUUCGGCUCAACCGGAGAAUUGCAUCAGAAACUGUCGAGCUUGAGUACAGAAGAGGAGAGUGGAACUCCAUGUGUAGCGGUGAAAUGCGUAGAUAUAUGGAAGAACACCGGUGGCGAAGGCGGCUCUCUGGUCUGUUACUGACGCUGAGGCUCGAGAGCAUGGGUAGCGAACAGG